RNAcentral lists this ribosomal RNA (240 nucleotides) under Frankia sp. AgPm24. Its description in RNAcentral is "partial 23S ribosomal RNA". Lineage: Bacteria; Bacillati; Actinomycetota; Actinomycetes; Frankiales; Frankiaceae. The record is from RNAcentral.
GGUUGAUAUUCCCGUACCGGUGUUGAUGCGUCCAUGCUGAGGCCGGGUGUGCUAACCAUCUGAUCGCAGGCAUCCUUUAGGGGGUGUGUGUGGGAGGGUGGGGUCCCGUCUGGUAGUAGGCAAGCGAUGGGGUGACGCAGGAGGGUAGUCCAGCCCAGGCGGUGGUUGUCCUGGGGCAAGGGUGUAGGACGGAACGUAGGCAAAUCCGCGUUUCAUGUGUCUGAGACCUGAUGCCGAGCC